RNAcentral lists this long non-coding RNA (387 nucleotides) under Mytilus galloprovincialis (Mediterranean mussel). Lineage: Eukaryota; Metazoa; Mollusca; Bivalvia; Mytilida; Mytilidae. The record is from RNAcentral.
AUUUUUCUCAUUUCAGAUUUCAUAAAUAAAAAGAAAAUUUCUUCAAACAUUUUUUUGAGAGGAUUAAUAUUCAACAGCAUAGUGAAUUGCUCAAAGGCAAACAAAAUAUUUUAAAUUCAUUAGAUCACGUUCAUUCUGUGUCCGAAACCUAUGCUGUGUCAACUAUUUAAUCACAAUCCAAAUUUAGAGCUGAAUCCAGCUUGAAUGUUGUGUCCAUAAUUGCCCCAACCGUUCAGGGUUCAACCUCUGCGGUCGUAUAAAGCUGCGCCCUGCGGAGCAUCUGGUUGUAAAUUUUUAGGAAAUAUUUUCCACUGUAAUUACUGGGCCAAGUUCAUUAUAGAUAGAGAUAAUUGUAGCAACAAGAAUGUUCAGUAAAGAAAGAUCUAC